This 442-nucleotide ribosomal RNA is filed under the name uncultured bacterium. Its description in RNAcentral is "partial 16S ribosomal RNA". It matches the Rfam family "Bacterial small subunit ribosomal RNA", at positions 338 to 795 of the family's 1533-position model. The record is from RNAcentral.
CCUACGGGAGGCAGCAGUGGGGAAUAUUGGGCAAUGGAGGCAACUCUGACCCAGCAAUGCCGCGUGAAUGAAGAAGGUCUUCGGAUUGUAAAGUUCUUUAAUCAGGGACGAAGAAGAUGACGGUACCUGAGGAAUAAGCCACGGCAAACUAUGUGCCAGCAGCCGCGGUAAUACGGAGGAUGCGAGCGUUAUCCGGAUUUAUUGGGUUUAAAGGGUGCGCAGGCGGAAGAUCAAGUCAGCGGUAACAUUGAGAGGUUCACCCUCUUCGAGCCGUUGAAACUGGUUUUCUUGAGUGAGCGAGAAGUAUGCGGAAUGCGUGGUGUAGCGGUGAAAUGCAUAGAUAUCACGAAGAACUCCGAUUGCGAAGGCAGCAUACCGGCGCUCAACUGACGCUCAUGCACGAAAGUGUGGGUAUCGAACAGGAUUAGAUACCCUAGUAGUC